RNAcentral lists this transfer RNA (75 nucleotides) under Lepidisis sp. Its description in RNAcentral is "tRNA-Met". It matches the Rfam family "tRNA". Rfam says of the family: Transfer RNA (tRNA) molecules are approximately 80 nucleotides in length. RNAcentral also lists the same sequence under 4 other names. Lineage: Eukaryota; Metazoa; Cnidaria; Anthozoa; Scleralcyonacea; Keratoisididae. The record is from RNAcentral.
AGAGUCAACUAACGGUAAGUUUUCAGACUCAUAAUCUGAUUAUGCAGGUUCAACUCCUGCCUCUACCUAUAGAAU